This 880-nucleotide ribosomal RNA is filed under the name uncultured Flavobacteriales bacterium. RNAcentral describes it as "bacterial SSU rRNA". It matches the Rfam family "Bacterial small subunit ribosomal RNA", at positions 58 to 930 of the family's 1533-position model. The record is from RNAcentral. Lineage: Bacteria; Pseudomonadati; Bacteroidota; Flavobacteriia; Flavobacteriales.
CAAGUCGUGGGGCAGCAUGUCCCGUAGCAAUACGGGAUGAUGGCGACCGGCAAACGGGUGCGGAACACGUACACAACCUUCCUUUAAGUGGGGAAUAGCCCGGGGAAACCCGGAUUAAUACCCCGUAACAUAUUGACUCGGCAUCGGGUUAAUAUUAUAGCUCCGGCGCUUAAUGAUGGGUGUGCGCCUGAUUAGGUAGUUGGCGGGGUAAUGGCCCACCAAGCCUUCGAUCAGUAACUGGUGUGAGAGCACGACCAGUCACACGGGCACUGAGACACGGGCCCGACUCCUACGGGAGGCAGCAGUAAGGAAUAUUGGUCAAUGGACGCAAGUCUGAACCAGCCAUGCCGCGUGGAGGAUGAAGGUCCUCUGGAUUGUAAACUUCUUUUAUCUGGGACGAAAAAGGGUCUUUCUAGACCACCUGACGGUACCAGAUGAAUAAGCACCGGCUAACUCCGUGCCAGCAGCCGCGGUAAUACGGAGGGUGCAAGCGUUAUCCGGAUUCACUGGGUUUAAAGGGUGCGUAGGUGGGUCUGUAAGUCAGUGGUGAAAUCCCCGAGCUUAACUUGGGAACUGCCAUUGAUACUAUAGAUCUUGAAUACUGUGGAGGUCAGCGGAAUAUGUCAUGUAGCGGUGAAAUGCUUAGAUAUGACAUAGAACACCAAUUGCGAAGGCAGCUGGCUACACAAAUAUUGACACUGAGGCACGAAAGCGUGGGGAUCAAACAGGAUUAGAUACCCUGGUAGUCCACGCCCUAAACUAUGGAUACUCGACAUUUGCGAUACACUGCAAGUGUCUGAGCGAAAGCAUUAAGUAUCCCACCUGGGAAGUACGAUCGCAAGAUUGAAACUCAAAGGAAUUGGCGGGGGUCCGCACAAGC